AUGACCGUUAAGGUGGCAAGCGGGAGGAAGCUCUUGACUUCUUCCUUCUCCUCCUCCUCCACCCUAACAAGCCAUCCUCCAAACUCAAACUCAAAGUCUCAAACUCCAACUCUAUUUGCUUUUUUGCUCUUCUCUCUCUCUCUGUAACAUUCAUGGAAGCAAUGCUAAAUUCCAAAUUGAUUUAUUAAUUUAUUCCAUCAAUUUUUAAUUAAUUAAUUUCGAACAAAAAGAUUAUUAAUAAUUAAAUGUCGUGGUUAAGAACAGCGGUGAAUAAGGCGGUGGAGGCAGGUGGUAAGAACAACCUCACUCGCACCGUUCGCAACUACGCCGACUCCGUCGUCUUCCAAGCCGGCAAUGCUGUUGCUGGUGGUGCCAGGAUCCUCCAGGACCGCAUUGGCGCUCGGAAUCUAAAAAGUUUCAGUCAUACAGUUAAAAGAGUGGAAGAAGUGUCUGUUUCUUGUAGAGGUAUAGAAAGAGUUCAGCUACUAAGAAGGUGGUUAGUUGCACUUAAAGAGGUUGAGAAAUUAUCCAAUUUUUACGACAACAAUUCAAAAUUCCCAGUGGACAGACCUAAUUCUGAUGAAUCCAGGGAUUCUCCUAAAGUGCCUACUCUGGUUUAUUAUAUUGAUUCAGUUGGAGAUGAGCCAAAAACUUUCCGUGAAGUCUUUCUUUAUAGUCAAGCCCUUGAAGGCAUAACAUUGUCGAUGAUUCUUGAAGCACCAAAUGAGGAAGAAGUUUCACUACUUCUGGAGAUAUAUGGGCUCUGUCUCACAGGAGGGAAAGAAGUACAUGAUGCAGUAAUGAGUAAUGUACAGGCUUUGGCAAAGGCGUUCUCAAGCUACCAAGAUGAAGUACUGGUAAAGCGUGAAGAAUUGCUUCAAUUUGCUCAAGAUGCAAUUACAGGGCUGAAAAUAAAUUCUGAACUGGCAAGAAUAGAUGCUGAAUCCAGCAGUAUAAAGGAAAAACUUGAUAAAAUAAAGGCAGUCCAGCAGCCUUUAAGUGACAGUCAAGAAAAAUCACGUGAAGAGAAAACAAUAGUUGAGGACCUAGGACAAGCUCUUUCUGAAGUUCAUUUGUAUGUCAACUUGGAAGCGCUCUUACUGAAAAAGAAGUCCUUGAGCAAUGGAGAUUCUCCGAAAGAACACGAUGACAAGGUUCAUAAGCUGAAAAUCUUAUCAGAAUCUCUCGCUAAUUCUACCUCAAAAGCUGAAAAGCGCAUUUUAGACAACAGAUUUCAGAAAGAAGAAGCACUUAACUUUCGUGUGGCUAAAGCCAAUGAAGUUUUCCAACUUGAGAAGGAAUUGGUGGCAGAUAUUAGACAAUUUGAGAGGCAAAGAGAUGAACUUGAAGCUGAAAUCAAAAAGGUCAAUGCCUCAUUGGCUGCUGCUCGUGCACGCCUUCACAAUAUGAGGGAAGAAAGAGAUCAGUUCGAUGAUGCAAGUAAUCAGAUUCUUGUACACUUGAAAACAAAGGAGGAUGAGCUUUCGAGGUCCAUUGCUUCUUGUAGAGCUGAAGCUGAUGUUGUUGAUACUUGGGUCACAUUUCUGGAAGGCACCUGGGUUCUCCAGGCUUCAUACACAGAACAAAAGGAAAAACAGGUCAAGGGUGAACUUGAGAGAUAUGGAGAGCAUUUUGCAAAUUUGGUUAUUCAUCUUCUCUCUACUUACAAGGACAGGUUGAGCCCGUUAAUCAACCAUAUUAAGGAACUUGCAGAGGAUUUGAGUAAAAGCCAAGGAUCAAAAACAACAUUUGGUGAGGAUGAUGAAAGUUCAAAAGUAACAAAUACGCGGAAAGAUCUUGAAGAGGAAUAUGUAGAUGGUGAAUCAAAGAUUUUGGCCACCUUCAGAGUAAUCGAUGCAACGAAAAGUCAAUACUAUGUUCAAACAGAAGGAAUUUACCGGAAAGAGGAACAGAAAAUUGCGGAGCUAUUUAGUGCUGUUGAAAAAUUGACAGUUGAAUUCGAAUCCAUUGAAAGACCAACAUUGGAAAUCGAAACACCAACUCAAAGGUCGGAGACACCAUUUAGUGAUAAAAGCAAUAAAAGUCCAUUAGCUAUAUAUAAACAACGCCCUGACACUCCAGAAUACAAAAAGAAUGGAGCAAUGGAGAAGAACACAUUGCCUGCAGAGGUAGAAAUAACAAAUUUAGUGUCAGCAUACGAAAAGUUCGAUGGAGAAGACUCUCCAGAAGUGAUUAAUGCAGAAGAGAUUAAUGAUUGGGAAUUUGAUGCACUCGACAAAGACUAAUAAACAACGGCUGAUAGCCAACAAUUAUAGGCCAAAUUUGUCUGUGGUAUGUGCAUAUACACCAUUUCAUUCGUAUAACAGUCGAGUAUUUUUGACAUGCCAAGAGGAGAAUCAAAACAGAACCAUGUUGCAUACUAGGGUGCAAUGUUGUAGAACUACUAACUACUACAUUACAAGCUGGCAUAAUCAUUUGUGGAGGUUAUUCUUGAUGGACCAGAAACUGAGUCCCUUUGAGAUAACUAUUUCGCAUAAAGUGAGAGGAACCUUAAAAGGAUCAACCUAGUGGGGUUUUUGACCUAGAACUUUUUAUCUUUGCCAAUUGACAAUUUCCCUUUUUUCUUUUUUGAGUGCCCCCUGAAACCAAUUAUGCAUUUUGAGUACUGAAACUACAAAGGCAAUAGAAGUUUAGGUGCAAACAGUGGUGGAAAACUAGAAAGGUGAACAAUCACGUGACCAUAAACGUUACAGAUAAGCAUCACGUGAGCACUUGAUGGUGGUAUGAACAUCUGGUCUUGAGACCCAUGUAGAGGCAUGUGGUGGCUUUGACACGAGCACAGAACUUUUUUUUCUUUUUCUUUUCUUUUAUUUUUUUAAUUAUUUUUAAUAUUUAUGUAUGGACAUGGAGAGUGAAAUUUCAAAUCCCAUUUUGAAUUAGCAUAUAUCUCCAAAGGAGGUGAUUGUUAUCAAUAUAUAUAUAUAUAUAUAUAAAUAUAUUUUUCUGGUAGA
RNA transcript from Ziziphus jujuba (common jujube), 2972 nucleotides. RefSeq lists it as uncharacterized. The record is from RefSeq and is a predicted model, not a curated record. The transcript is spliced from 19 exons. Lineage: Eukaryota; Viridiplantae; Streptophyta; Magnoliopsida; Rosales; Rhamnaceae.